Molecule: non-coding RNA, 675 nt
Organism: Toxotes jaculatrix (banded archerfish)
Lineage: Eukaryota; Metazoa; Chordata; Actinopteri; Toxotidae
Source: the annotation of a RefSeq genome assembly
GCACAAUCAGCUUGAUGUUGAGGAGAAGGGCUGUGCAGCAGAGAGGCUGUUUAGUUGCUUGAUUCUACUGCAGUGGAAGAACAUUGUUCAUCUGCUGUCUGUUUGGCUUCAACAACUCCAAAGACAUGUUGCUUUACCUCUUUUUGCUUUUAUCUGACUUCAUAGAGUGUAAAGGAGAAGACAAGGUGAUCCAGGAAACAGGAGAUGUCAUUGCUGCUGAAGGAGAGAUAGUUACACUCCCCUGUACAUUUGAGACCAGCAACCCAACUCCAACUCUGUUCUGGUACAAACAAGAAACAAAUGAUUUUCCAAAGCUUCUGCUGCAGCGCGUCUCAACAGCAGCAGGUAAUCCUGCAGAAAAACAGAAAGAGAGAAUCGAUGCUGUGGCCAACAAGACAUCAGUUCCUCUGGAGAUCCAGAUACUUCAGCUGUCUGACUCUGCUGUGUACUACUGUGCUCUGCAGCCCACAGUGACAGGAAACAGCACAACUCUGUACAAAAACCUUUGGAGCAAAGACAACAGAAUACUCCACAACAUCCACUAGAGGGAGUCACACACUGUUCAACCUCAAUGGUUUCUUAUGAUCCAGUCUAGAUUCUUUGGACUGAUCAGAAUCAAACAACAGAAAAUGAAGCAGUAAAUGUCAGAGACACAGAGCUGCUCUGAAAGUUGAA